This 23-nucleotide non-coding RNA is filed under the name Arabidopsis thaliana (thale cress). Lineage: Eukaryota; Viridiplantae; Streptophyta; Magnoliopsida; Brassicales; Brassicaceae. The record is from RNAcentral.
UAAUUGGUGUCUCGUGAUUUUCA